CAUAUUUUCUAGUGUUUUACAUAAAUGGAAUCAUACGCCCGAGUGGCCAUGCUCCCAGGCUGUCCUUCCACAGCCACACAGCCCAUCAAGGCAUUCUGCUCAACGAAGACUUUUCCUUCCUCUGAAAGAGACUUUCCUGCUAAACAACUUUUUUCCUUACUACAAUCUGAUUGCAGUAAGCAAGGAUGGCAUAACAUAACCAUCCAAAUAAGUUGAAAACUUUUGCCCACACAAAAACCUGCACACUGAUUCAUAUUUGCCAACACUUGGAAGCAACCAAGAUGUCCUUCAACAGAUGAAUAGAUAAACAAAACGUGGCACAUCCAGACAAUGGAAUAUGAUACAGCAGGAAAAAGAAAUGAGCUCCGGACAUUCUGGAAAGGUAAAACUACAGAGAUCAUAAAAAGAUCAUCUCUUUGAAGUCUGGGUAUUUGGUAAAAACAAAUCAGUGGUUAACAGGGGCUUGGAUGGGGGAGGGAGGGAUGAAUAGGUGGUGCACAGAGGAUUUUUAGGGUAGUGAAAUGAUUCUGUUUGAGAGUGGAAUGGUGGAUACAUGGCAUUAUGCAUUUGUCAAGAUCCAUGGGACUGUAUAUCACAGAGCGAAUCCUAAUGUGAACUAUGGACUUUAGUUAAUAAAAGUGUUCCUGUAUUGGUGCGUCCGUUUUAGCAGGUACACCCCACUGAUGCCACAUGUUCCUAGUGCUGAGAAGAGACCCUGCUCAGGGUAUGCUCUGACUUUUUUCCUCAGCAUGGUCAGGCUUCCCUUACCCCUUUCUGCCACCCACCUGCCCAUCUGCUG
This 799-nucleotide long non-coding RNA is filed under the name Homo sapiens (human). Its description in RNAcentral is "HSALNT0340315". Lineage: Eukaryota; Metazoa; Chordata; Mammalia; Primates; Hominidae. The record is from RNAcentral.